GAAAAAGUACGCAAGAACUGCUAACUCUAUGCUCCAUGCUUAAUAACAUGGCUUUUUCA
Molecule: transfer RNA, 59 nt
Filed under: Tragelaphus imberbis (lesser kudu)
Lineage: Eukaryota; Metazoa; Chordata; Mammalia; Artiodactyla; Bovidae
Description: tRNA-Ser
Source: RNAcentral